This 535-nucleotide long non-coding RNA is filed under the name Elaeis guineensis (African oil palm). Its description in RNAcentral is "long non-coding RNA (EGUI_LNC040918)". The record is from RNAcentral. Lineage: Eukaryota; Viridiplantae; Streptophyta; Magnoliopsida; Arecales; Arecaceae.
CCUCAUGAAUGAAGUCGGCUACAAAUAACUUAUCAACUUCUUUGUCGAUGGCCUUCUAUCGCUCGAGAAUGAAACUUCUUUUCUUUUAUCUCACCGAUUUGUGCUUUGUGUCGAUGUUUAAUCAAUAGACAAUCACAUCAGAAAGGAUGCCCAGCAUAUCUGAGGCAGACCAGACGAAAACAUCAAUAUUCUUCCUCAGAAAGGUCACAAGUUUCUCCCAUAGAUCGUCGCUUAAAAAAGAUCUGACUUGAAUAGUUUUAGUCGGAUCUUCGUCAUUAAGGGAUAUAGAGGUGAGUUAUUCCAUGGGUUCUCUCCGACUUUCUUCUUCUCUCUGGUCCAAUCCAUCAAUAGGAAGAGCUUCAAUUGGCUUCUUUUCUUUGAUCACAGUUAAGUAGCAAUAUCAGACCAAUUAUUGAUUUUUCCUCAUUUCACCAGUCCCAUUCCUUGUCAGGAAGUGCACGAGUAAGUGAUAUGUUGAAAUAAUUGCUCGAAGAGCAUUUAGUCCAGAUCGUCUCAAGAUAACAUUAUAGGCAGA